Trichonephila clavata is the source of this 72-nucleotide non-coding RNA. The record is from the annotation of a GenBank genome assembly. Lineage: Eukaryota; Metazoa; Arthropoda; Arachnida; Araneae; Nephilidae.
GGAGGUGUAGCUCAGGGGUAGAGCGUUCGCUUCGCAGUUGAAGUGCCCGGGGUUCAAGUCCCCGCACCUCCG